GUGCUCGCUUCAGCAGCACAUAUACUGUACUAAAAUUGGAACGAUACAGAGUAAAUUAGCAUGGCUCCUGUGCAAGGAUGACAUGCAAAUUCGUGAAGUGUUCCAUAUUUAA
This is a small nuclear RNA of Myotis lucifugus (little brown bat), 112 nucleotides long. NCBI's taxonomy places the organism in Eukaryota, Metazoa, Chordata, Mammalia, Chiroptera, Vespertilionidae. The record is from Ensembl.